CAUCACAAAAGUUAAUAUUUUGUGGAGAUCAAGGAAUGAAACUCAGCCCUCUGCAAAUGGAACACAAACGCCUGGUACAUGGAUGCUACAAUGAAAAGAAUAUGGGUGCUGAAAUCAGAGAGAAUCAUCCAAGAUGAUCCUUAUGCAUGCUGAACUCUGAGAGCCACCAGUGAAGAAGAUAAGUGACCCAUCUACCUGUAGCUGGAAAAUAAAGGCUCUUUGGGAUUCUUUCCCGUGAGUCUUCAUUUCACCAUAUUGGUGAGAGAAGGCAUUCAGGCCCAAUAAUUAACUGAACAUUAGCUGUGUACCAGACACUGUGGUCGACAUUGAGAUAUAACGGUGAGUGAAGGCACAGCACGUGGGACUUCCUAUAGUCACAUAUGUGACCCAUACG
Molecule: long non-coding RNA, 394 nt
Filed under: Pan paniscus (pygmy chimpanzee)
Lineage: Eukaryota; Metazoa; Chordata; Mammalia; Primates; Hominidae
Description: lncRNA (ENSPPAG00000044541.1)
Source: RNAcentral